RNA transcript from Peromyscus californicus insignis, 3710 nucleotides. It is a transcript of the gene named carbohydrate sulfotransferase 13, with no coding region annotated. NCBI's taxonomy places the organism in Eukaryota, Metazoa, Chordata, Mammalia, Rodentia, Cricetidae. The record is from RefSeq and is a predicted model, not a curated record. The transcript has 5 exons.
UUCUCCAAAGUGGUCUUCCCCAGAAUGGGAACUGAGGGGCUGCUGUGGAGAGCAGAGGCUUCGUAGGCAAGGCCAGUGGAAGUUGAGAGGGAACAAGAAAUUGCCAAGGGCUAAGGCUGGAGAAAGCAGGCAGAGAGGAGAAGCUUACGCAGACAGUCCCAGCACCCUGGGCCAAAAAGCUGUGACAUUUGCCAAUAUUGAGAGCCAAGAGUCCCAAAGCCUGGGGACGAAAGCUGUCACGCCCAGGGUUACAAUAGCUGCCCAGUUAAAGCCCAGGGCUGAGCGUCCAGCCUGAGCACCUGGGAACCUGAGUUUCUGACCUACAGGGCUCUGGCUCUGCCAGUAUGCUCCUUGAGCUUGUGGUACCUGUACCUGAGAGUUUCUUCACUCCUAAUUCCCACCUGCACAGGGUAGAGGACCCUAAUGACCAGUAACAUGGCUAGAUGCUGCAUCUCCCUAUCCUGGGCUCCAGCCUUACCUAUUCAGCCAGCUGGAGCGAGAGCCUACCACUAGGCAGGAGCGCCAGACGCCACUCCUGGGCGGGUCCUAGGCUAAGGUCAGGACUGGGCGUGUCCUGGGCCUUGGCCGCGCAGUGGGAGAACACCCUGGAUGACCGUCGCCUGCCACGCGCGGGGCACAGUAUGGGGAGGCGCUCCUGCUGCCGGCCUCGCUUACGGGUGGUGGCAAGGCUGGGCGCUGCGCUCCUGCUCCUGUGCGCGCUCCUGCUCCUGCGUCCUGCAUUUGACAACAAAGCCCUGGGCUCUAGCUGGUUUGGAGGAGUAAGGAAGAGUCCCCUACAGCUGUUGCAUGACCUGGACCAGGGUGGUCGGCCCUCCUUGAUGGCCAAGGUGCACCAGCAGCGGCGCGAGCUGCUACAGCGGGCCUGCAGCCGCCACACACGACGCCAGCGCCUGCUGCAGCCGGAGGACCUGCGGCACGUGCUGGUGGACGACGCACACGGGCUGCUGUACUGCUACGUGCCCAAGGUGGCCUGCACCAACUGGAAGCGCGUGCUGCUGGCGCUGCGCGGCCGUGGGGACCCGGGCUCAAUCCCCGCGCACGAGGCGCAUGCGCCUGGCCUGCUGCCCUCGCUGGCCGACUUUGCGCCGGCCGAGGUCAACCGGAGGCUGCGGGACUACCUGGCCUUUCUCUUCGUGCGCGAGCCCUUCGAGCGCCUGGCCUCGGCCUACCGCAACAAGCUGGCGCGGCCACACAGCGCGGCCUUCCAGCGGCGCUACGGCACGCGCAUCGUGCGCCGCCUCCGCCCGCACGCGCAGCCCGACGCGCUGGCCCGCGGCCACGACGUGCGCUUCGCCGAGUUCCUGGCCUACCUGCUCGACCCGCGCACGCGCCGCCACGAGCCCUUCAAUGAACACUGGGAGCGCGCGCACGCGCUGUGCCACCCGUGCCUAGUGCGCUAUGACGUGGUGGGCAAGUUCGAGACGCUGGCGGAUGACGCGGCCUUUGUGCUGGACCUGGUGGGCGAGCCGGGCCUGCGCUUCCCGGCUCCACCGCGGAGGUCAGAGAAGGACCCCACGCGUGACCAGGCCCGGCGCCUCUUCCAGGACAUCAGCCCCUUCUACCAGCGCCGCCUCUUUGACCUCUAUAAGAUGGACUUUCUGCUCUUCAACUACUCCGCCCCCUCCUACCUGCGGCUGCAGUAGGGGCGGGGCGGGGGGGGGGGUGUUGAGAAGGACCUGUGACUGCUGUGACCAAGAGGCCGCCAGGAGGUCUGGAAUGAACCUGGUAGUGUGGAUUGGAGAACCCUUGGCAUACCUUGCUUAUUGGGCCUGACCAAGAUCCUGGGCACAGGCCACACUCACACCGACUGGGUUGGGCACAGCUUGCCUCAGGCGACCGUUCUGGCCUUUUGUGCCUUUGGUUUGAUGCAUGUCUCUUCUUCCUGCUGCAGGUGGCAGGCUUCUCUCUAGGACCCAGGGCCCAGGGAGCUGUGCAGAAGAGGAAGUGGAAAGACUCUAGGAGUCAGUAGGGAUGGAAGUCCAGACACAGCAGGACUUGAUGCACAUCUGAACCCCCAGAGGCCGUGGCAGCGUGCACAGGUUUGCACAGGUGCAAGCCAGAUGGGGCCUCAGUGCUGAGAGGGGAAGCAGACAUGAAUCCUCAUUCCCUACCAAGAAGCUCUCACCGCUGACAACUGCUCACAAAGGAAAAAUUAGUUGUCUCCAAUGGAGUUUCACUGGGAAGACAAACCACACUUGAGGCCCCAUGCCAUCUGUAGAUGGCCAACACAAAACAAGCUCAAUUCAAUGGCUGAAGUAGCCAUGAUGGUUCUUGUCCUUGGAAACUUGUGGAAGCCGCCACUUGGGUCACUCUCCUUCCAUGCCCUUCUGAGCUCUCAAGUAAGAUUAUGGAAUGGAAAUAGGAAGACUGUGGUCCAUGAUGGCCUGGUGAGCACCAUGACAGCCUAUACUGCCCACCUUGGGGCUUGUUUUUCCAAAGGCAAGGAAAAUCUCUGAGUUUUGGGUUGUUUUCCCUAGUGAAAGGAAACCAAGCAUUCCAUUUCCUCAUUGCCCUCCAUUUCUUUCUUAGUCCAAAGACUAUAAAUCUCUAGGCCAGAGGACUAACAUUCGAGAUCACUGAUUCCCUUCAGAGGCUGGGAGAGAGGCACCACACCUGCCCAGCCAUCUCCUGAGCCCUGUUCAGGCUGCUGUAACUCCUCAGAAGGCUCACACGCAGAGUCUCUCCUCCAGGUGCCAAUGCCCAAGCCCAGGCUCCCCAGGCUUCUAUGGCUCUCCUGAGCACUGUCUCUAGAUCUGGCAAAUGCUUCUCAGGAUCUCCAAGCUGCUCUGAUUUGCUGGGGGCAUCUGAACAUGGAACAGGCAUUGCACUUCCCAUCUAUGAAGCAGAGCUGGACAACUAAGAGAGACCCAAAGAACUCAGACAGGGAAAGUCAAGGUCAGGAUGGUGACAGUGCCUUCAAAUGAACCAAGACCAGGAUGACACGUCCAAGGGGAGGGGUAUGGCAGAGCUGGGCAUUGAUGCCAAGUCCAUUGAAGCAGUGUGUUGGGUGCAGGCAUGGAAGAAGCAGGAGGGACUGGAGUUCCAAAUCCUUCUGAACAGAGAGAGUAAGUGCUAAGAUCAAUCAGAACAUGCAACCCAAGAAGGGAGAGGACUGAUGUCUCUUAGUGUCCAUCAUCUUGGGGACAUCUUGUGACAGGUGUGCAAUUGGGUAACAAACCCGUGUAAAGUGAGUAACUGUUUCAGUCCACUCAAAUUUGUUUAUCUUGUAUUAGAUUCGAGUGAGAAUAAGUUCCACACAUUUAAUUUUAAACCAGCACACUCAGCAUAAUCUUUGCUAUUUUUCUUUUCCUUCCUCCCUUCCCCCUGCCCUUCUUGCCUCCCUCCUACCCUCACCCUCAUCUUUUCAUUCUCAUCCUCUCUUCCUUCCAUAUUAUGUCUAUACACAUGUUUGGAACGAUACUGCUUAAUACAAAUUUGGGGGUUGAGGUAACGAUUCCUUUUCCUGUUUCACGUUUGCAGUAGAGCUUGAAUUAUUUUUUAAUUUUAAUUUUUUAUAAAUACUUUUUAUAAGAUCUUUUUUCUUUUUUUAUUAGUUCUGUGAGAAUUCCUUACCCUUUAUUUUGAUCAUAUUCACCUCCCUCCCCUUACUCCACCCAGAUCCAGCCCCUCCCCUUCUCACCCAACCACAUGUUCUCUUUUUUUAAAAUAAAUUUUUUAAUUAAAAAUUA